Molecule: transfer RNA, 72 nt
Filed under: Picobiliphyte sp. MS584-11
Lineage: Eukaryota; Picozoa
Description: tRNA-Phe
Rfam family: tRNA
About the family: Transfer RNA (tRNA) molecules are approximately 80 nucleotides in length. Their secondary structure includes four short double-helical elements and three loops (D, anti-codon, and T loops).
Source: RNAcentral
GUCUUGAUAGCUCAGUGGUAGAGCGAUUGAUUGAAAAUCAAUAGGUCGAUGGUUCAAAUCCAUCUCAAGACA